UUUAUGGAGAGUUUGAUCCUGGUUCAGGAUGAACGCUGGCGGCGUGCCUAAUACAUGCAAGUCGAGCGAACGGACGAGAAGCUUGCUUCUCUGAUGUUAGCGGCGGACGGGUGAGUAAAACGUGGAUAACCUACCUAUAAGACUGGGAUAACUUCGGGAAACCGGAGCUAAUACCGGAUAAUAUUUUGAACCGCAUGGUUCAAAAGUGAAAGACGGU
Molecule: ribosomal RNA, 217 nt
Filed under: Staphylococcus aureus
Lineage: Bacteria; Bacillati; Bacillota; Bacilli; Caryophanales; Staphylococcaceae
Description: partial 16S ribosomal RNA
Rfam family: Bacterial small subunit ribosomal RNA
Source: RNAcentral